CUGCAUUUCAAAUUUUAGACCAAAUUGGAAAAAUACUUCUAGCCAAUUUGACUAUUAUAGCCUAGAAUUCAGAAUUAUCUUUGAAUUUAGUCUGAAUUCCUUACAAUUCACACUUUUGGGAAUAACCCCUAUAAGCCAGCGCUGCCCCUCUCACUAUAAGGUCCACACUAUCCCAGGUUCACUGACAUAGAACCUACUGUAUAUGAUUAAGCGCAGAGGUAACCAGCGGGGAGAUCACCAAUUUUCCCUGCUACCAACUGGGCAUUUGUACCAAAAGUGCUUCCUUUUUACCAUGCACUCCAGAUGUUGUGGACAUCUCUCCUGAUGCGUUACCAGUAUUAUAGCUGUAAGAGCCUUAUGGGAAAUGUAGUCUACAACAUCUGGAUGGCCGAAGGUUGCCUACCCCGGUAAGUUCUAGCAAGCCAUUGAUUUAUUGAAGUUGCGGAAGUUUUAUUUUAAAGGGAGCUUCAGGUAAGAUUGCCAAAUCAUGAUUUUAUUUAGGGACUCCAAUGAAAAAUACAGCAUCGAGGGCUCCAAUGGUUUAACACAGCCCUGGAGUAUAUACGUUCAUAGGAAUCACUAUACCAACUUCUGAUAUGAUAACACUAGCUAAAAGUUGGUUACCCCUAAUCUAGUGCUUACUGUCAAGAUUUCAGUAGCUCAUAAGUUAUCUCAUGCCAAACCCCAUACGUCUCCAGUGGAACAGAAAUUAUUUGUGUAACAAGUAUAAGAAUAAUUUUGUUUGACGUCUUUAAG
Pelobates cultripes (western spadefoot toad) is the source of this 756-nucleotide non-coding RNA. The record is from the annotation of a GenBank genome assembly. NCBI's taxonomy places the organism in Eukaryota, Metazoa, Chordata, Amphibia, Anura, Pelobatidae.